Molecule: long non-coding RNA, 366 nt
Filed under: Ananas comosus (pineapple)
Lineage: Eukaryota; Viridiplantae; Streptophyta; Magnoliopsida; Poales; Bromeliaceae
Description: long non-coding RNA (ACOM_LNC031302)
Source: RNAcentral
ACGAAAUUCGCUACAGUUAGCGAUAGAAUUUCAAUAGCCGACCUAGCAGCGACUAAUACACCAAACCCAUGAACCAUAUCCAAGUUCAUGAACCAAAUCCAUACACCAAAUCCAUGAACCAUAUCCAAGUUCAUGAACCAAAUUCAUACACCAAACCCAUGAACCAUAUCAAAGUUCAUGAACCAAAUCUCAUGAGCCAAUACUCAAAUCUCAUGAACCAAUACCCAAAUCUCAUCGUGAACUUUUUUUUUACUCUGGCACAUAUACCUAGAGUAAAAAUUAAAUAUCGACUACCCCUAAUACAUAUACUUAGGGCUAAGUCAAUUGGCUUAGCACAUAUAACUAAGGCAAAACAUCUCCAAAUCG